AGUGGUCCAUAGGGUGGACCAACAUUGGGAUCCUCACUGUUACAUCUUGGAUCCUGGCUCCUGGAAGGCAGCAGACCUCUCGAGCAAAAGGGUCUGGAUGACAAAUGGCACCUUCUGUUCUCCUUCUUGGUGGGGGCGCCUUCUGUUCCCCUGCUUUCUUGGUGGGGGCGGCUGUUCCUGUCCUAUUUUUGGUGUAGAGGAUGCGGAUGCCUCAUCCGUUGAUGAUGUGAGAGCUGUGAAGUUGUUGUGCAGGGCUAUUGGUGGAGCAGCUGAUGCACAGCAUGGUUUUGGACCUGAUGUGACCAAUUUCCAAGCAGUGUCAGUUGGGACAUAUUAGUCAAGCCCACUCUUCUGCCUGGUUCCCAUGGCAUCCUUCUCCAGUUGAGAGAGCCAGAAUUGGGUCCAAAAUACAAUUAUAGUGUUUUACAAGUAUUUCAGAAAGAAAAUAAAAACACAGAUCUUUUAUAGCAUCCAAUUUUCAAAAAGUUGCCCCUAACCAUUGAUGUGUGUAUGCAGUUAUGCCUGGUAAAACUGCAUAUGCCUCUGUAGAACUCAUUGAAAACCGGACACAUAGAGAUAUAUUUCAUCAUUUUGAAAAUGUAUGGCUUGUUGGCAUCAACUGUUUUAUAUUAUAGUUUUGCACAUUCCUAAUCGGUGCAACAGGCUGACUUUUUUGGUAAUACUUGGUUUGUAUUUGACAUGACCAAGGAACUUAUGGGGUACACAUUUUGUGCAUCUUUCCAGUUUUUUUGCAGACUAGGUUAAAAGUAUGGGAGUUAUAGUUAGGGAUUGAAAAUAAUGUUGGUAAGUCAUUUAAUAUUGUUUUCCACAUGUCAGCAACUGAUUUCAGGUACUUUUUUAAUAUAGAUAAAUCUUAAAGUCUUUUAAGCAUGUAAUAAAGGACGUGCUUAACUUGGCCAUUGAUGAACUUUUCAAUUUGAUGGAAUUUACUGAGCUGUGAUCUCAUUUCACAACAUGUCUGAGGUGCAGAUUAAUGAUCUAAUAAAGGAUCCUGGUUGUACGUUAUUGCUUUAUUUCUACACAAAGAUCUUCUGACUUAUUUUCAUUGGGGGGAAGGUGACAGUCAUCAUGUAGUGAACUCUCUGCUGCCAAUAGUGCUGGUCUCAACCACUUGCUCCCUGCCCCCCUUUCUGUCUCCAUGCAGGCCAGUGAGGUCUGUACCACACCCCACUUCUCAAAAUUUUAGAUCCAUUCCCAUUUUCCAGUUGAUGAGCUCCACUUUAUGGCAGAAGUUUCUGGUAUUAGUUGCUAAUAAUCUAGGUUUUCCUGUAUGAGUUUAUCCAUAAUAGCUUAUGCAGGUUUUCCUGUAUGGUAUCCCAGUCGUCCUUUGUGGUGCAUUUGCCUCCUAACUUUGUGCCAACAAAAUUUGUGCCAGCAAAUUGCAUAAGCUCACACCAAAUUUUGUGCCAAAAGUAAUUUAAUAAAAAUAUUUAUUGCGAUCA
Gavialis gangeticus (Gharial) is the source of this 1463-nucleotide long non-coding RNA. RefSeq lists it as uncharacterized. NCBI's taxonomy places the organism in Eukaryota, Metazoa, Chordata, Crocodylia, Gavialidae. The transcript is spliced from 2 exons. The record is from RefSeq and is a predicted model, not a curated record.